AUAAAGAAAGAACAGGUUUAAAUCAGAGCUAAACAAUAUGUUGGGGUUAAUUAAAUCUUAUGCUUUUCUCCCAACACUUGCUCAUACCGCACUCUGAGAACAAGCAGGACGUAACAAGAGAGAAACUGGAACCCAGCUGUGAAAGCACGGCUACGGAACUGGCAGCCACCUCCGCCACCAUGGAUACAGGAAUGAGAACCGAGGCUCCAAAGCUGGACAGAGGGAGGUCGUGCUACUCAAGUGAUCACGAAACUUACGAAGUCACCGCCUUCUGUAGGAAUGAGGACAUUCAUCUCAGAAGAUUUGGCACUGACUAUCUCACAAUCCAGGGAAUUCUUGCUCAGGUAAAUGUGGCAGCCGUCUGUUUUGUUGAUCGAAAUGGUUGGCACUUUACCCAUUACCUG
Molecule: non-coding RNA, 404 nt
Organism: Sus scrofa (pig)
Lineage: Eukaryota; Metazoa; Chordata; Mammalia; Artiodactyla; Suidae
Source: RefSeq, a predicted model, not a curated record